RNAcentral lists this ribosomal RNA (508 nucleotides) under uncultured bacterium. RNAcentral's name for it is "partial 16S ribosomal RNA". It matches the Rfam family "Bacterial small subunit ribosomal RNA", at positions 28 to 523 of the family's 1533-position model. The record is from RNAcentral.
GAUGAACGCUAGCUACAGGCUUAACACAUGCAAGUCGAGGGGAAACGACAUCGAAAGCUUGCUUUUGAUGGGCGUCGACCGGCGCACGGGUGAGUAACGCGUAUCAAACCUGCCCACCACUUGGGGAUAACCUUGCGAAAGUAAGACUAAUACCCAAUGAUAUCUCUAGAAGACAUCUGAAAGUGAUUAAAGAUUUAUCGGUGAUGGAUGGGGAUGCGUCUGAUUAGCUUGUUGGCGGGGUAACGGCCCACCAAGGCUACGAUCAGUAGGGGUUCUGAGAGGAAGGUCCACCACAUUGGAACUGGGACACGGUCCAAACUCCUACGGGAGGCAGCAGUGAGGAAUAUUGGUCAAUGGGCGAGAGCCUGAACCAGCCAAGUAGCGUGCAGGAUGACGGCCCUAUGGGUUGUAAACUGCUUUUAUAAGGGAAUAAAGUGAGCCUCGUGAGGCUUUUUGCAUGUACCUUAUGAAUAAGGACCGGCUAAUUCCGUGCCAGCAGCCGCAGUAA